GCUUUUGGUUCAGUGGUAGAAUGCUCGCCUGCCACGUGGCCUACCGGGUUCGAUUCCCGGCCGAUGCA
Molecule: transfer RNA, 68 nt
Filed under: Cordylochernes scorpioides
Lineage: Eukaryota; Metazoa; Arthropoda; Arachnida; Pseudoscorpiones; Chernetidae
Description: tRNA-Gly
Source: RNAcentral